AUGGGUCUGCUGGAGACCGGCGUAAUUUUGAUCCUUACCUCUCCGGGCCUGUGUCAAUUCUCCUGGAACUAUUUCUACCAGCACAAGUGUGGCUGUUUGGCUCCAAGUUCACAGCAGACUCAGCUGAAGCUUCUGUCAAAUUUAGGUCAUUGCCUGACGCGUCACCUUCGUCUCGACCCAGGCCCUCCUCCAGGCUGUCCCCAGCUCCUUGCACAGCUGCCCCUUCUCACCUUCCAGGACUCUGUCAGGUGUCACGUCCACAGGGGCCCCCGACUCCCCUGUCCACGGUCACCCCCUCCACCCAGGCCCCUCCCAGCAGGCCUCUGUUUACCCUUCUGGAUACCACUCACCACCAUCGGAAGUGACCCCGAGGGCAUGUUUCCUUGGCGUCAUCUCCCUCGCCCCCUCUUGAGNCUCCAAGGCCUCAGGAACCCACCUGUCCUGCUAAGCCCCGUGUGCCCUGCACCUGCUGCAGCACCUCACCCAGAAGCACUGGCCGGCUGGAAUUUAGACCAGGUGGCUUGGCCACCUGGAUGAACACAACACCCCAGGAAGAGUAGGACAAGAAGAGGGGCAAGGCUUGGUCCCCAACUCCUUGGAGUUCCAGGUAGGGGUGGAGGAAGGUGGUGUGGAGGGCGGGCAGGGCACUGUACCGGGUCGUGUAUUUGGUCUCCACACCUCCUCUGUCCGUCAGGAGUGGAGGCGCUCCUCUCUCCUCCCAUGCGACCUCCCCUGCCGCCCGCCCCAGGGUGACAGCCCCAGGAUGGGAGCUUGUCC
RNAcentral lists this long non-coding RNA (777 nucleotides) under Vulpes vulpes (red fox). Its description in RNAcentral is "lncRNA (ENSVVUG00000016702.1)". The record is from RNAcentral. Lineage: Eukaryota; Metazoa; Chordata; Mammalia; Carnivora; Canidae.